RNAcentral lists this long non-coding RNA (378 nucleotides) under Junco hyemalis (dark-eyed junco). Its description in RNAcentral is "lncRNA (ENSJHYG00000002144.1)". The record is from RNAcentral. Lineage: Eukaryota; Metazoa; Chordata; Aves; Passeriformes; Passerellidae.
CUAAUGAUAAAAACAUACCACAGCCAAUGUCUGAACUCCUUCCAAGAAAGGAUACAGAAUUGAAGACUGUAGAUUCCUGGGUAAGCCUGUGUAAAACGAUGAAGCUUCCAGCUCCAAUAAAAGCAUCUGCUGAGAGCUUCAAUCAGUUCAGGGAUGCAGUACUAAAGAGGAGUGGGCAAGUGCAGGAGGCAAAAAGGUCUCUUGGGCAUGCUGAGAGGGAGCUGCAAAAUCUUCCGCAAGAAAACAAAAGAUUUGUAGCUACUUCUGUAGGCCCUGAAAGCACAAGAUUGGAUGCCAUGGCAGUGCCAGACUGUGAGCUUGAAAAAGAAAUGCCUAAGAGUAAACUGCCCGAAGCUCAACAAUGUGUUCUUGAUCAAG